GCCGGCCCGACCACUCGC
RNAcentral lists this unclassified non-coding RNA (18 nucleotides) under Chlamydomonas reinhardtii. Its description in RNAcentral is "small RNA Cre_1711". The record is from RNAcentral. Lineage: Eukaryota; Viridiplantae; Chlorophyta; Chlorophyceae; Chlamydomonadales; Chlamydomonadaceae.